Non-coding RNA from Bubalus bubalis (water buffalo), 557 nucleotides. NCBI's taxonomy places the organism in Eukaryota, Metazoa, Chordata, Mammalia, Artiodactyla, Bovidae. The record is from the annotation of a RefSeq genome assembly.
AAGGGGCGUGGCCCCUGAGUGACAAGUUGGCUCUGGAGCCUGGCAGGGAGAGUGACAUCUCAGAAGGACUCCCUGGAGAGCCCCUCUCCCCUCUCAUCCACACACACACCAGAGGGCCCUCUGCAACCCCACCCCCGCCAUGAGCCCCUGCCUCCUGGGCUGUGUGGUCUUCUGUCUCCUGCAGGCAGGGGCGGUCCAUGCUGGGGUCACUCAGGACCCCAGAUUCCAGGUCGUGAGGUCAGGACAGAAAGCGACACUGAGAUGCACUCAGGAUCUGAAACACGGUUAUAUGUACUGGUACCGAGAAGACGUGGGACGCGGACUGAGGCUGAUCCAUUACUCAAAUGGCCCUCCCGACACACAGACGGGAGAUGUAACCGAGGGCUACAGCGUCUCCAGACCAAGCACAGAGGACUUCCCUCUCACACUGGAGUCUGCCAACCGCUCCCAGACAUCUGUGUACUUCUGCGCCAGCAGUUACUCCACAGCGCUGCAGGGUCACCUCCUCUCUGUGCAAAAAGGCAAGGCAGCCCCUUGCUUGUAGGCUCCUAGCACCA